This 524-nucleotide ribosomal RNA is filed under the name Pantoea sp. S61. RNAcentral's name for it is "bacterial SSU rRNA". It matches the Rfam family "Bacterial small subunit ribosomal RNA", at positions 1 to 516 of the family's 1533-position model. The record is from RNAcentral. Lineage: Bacteria; Pseudomonadati; Pseudomonadota; Gammaproteobacteria; Enterobacterales; Erwiniaceae.
AAAUUGAAGAGUUUGAUCAUGGCUCAGAUUGAACGCUGGCGGCAGGCCUAACACAUGCAAGUCGAACGGUAGCACAGAGAGCUUGCUCUUGGGUGACGAGUGGCGGACGGGUGAGUAAUGUCUGGGAAACUGCCCGAUGGAGGGGGAUAACUACUGGAAACGGUAGCUAAUACCGCAUAACGUCUUCGGACCAAAGUGGGGGACCUUCGGGCCUCACACCAUCGGAUGUGCCCAGAUGGGAUUAGCUAGUAGGUGGGGUAAUGGCUCACCUAGGCGACGAUCCCUAGCUGGUCUGAGAGGAUGACCAGCCACACUGGAACUGAGACACGGUCCAGACUCCUACGGGAGGCAGCAGUGGGGAAUAUUGCACAAUGGGCGCAAGCCUGAUGCAGCCAUGCCGCGUGUAUGAAGAAGGCCUUCGGGUUGUAAAGUACUUUCAGCGGGGAGGAAGGCGUUAAGGUUAAUAACCUUGGCGAUUGACGUUACCCGCAGAAGAAGCACCGGCUAACUCCGUGCCAGCAGCC